RNAcentral lists this ribosomal RNA (243 nucleotides) under uncultured bacterium. RNAcentral describes it as "partial 16S ribosomal RNA". It matches the Rfam family "Bacterial small subunit ribosomal RNA", at positions 118 to 347 of the family's 1533-position model. The record is from RNAcentral.
UGGGUAACCUGCCUCAAAGAGGGGAAUAGCCUCCCGAAAGGGAGAUUAAUACCGCAUAAUAUGUUUAAGUCGCAUGACUUUAACAUCAAAGGAUUUUCUUUUAAGAAAUUCCACUCUGAGAUGGACCCGUGGCGCAUUAGCUAGUUGGUGAGGUAACGGCUCACCAAGGCAACGAUGCGUAGCCGACCUGAGAAGGUGAUCGGCCACAUUGGAACUGAGACACGGUCCAGACCUCUACGGGAG